CAGUAGCCGCGGUAAUACGUAGGUGGCAAGCGUUGUCCGGAAUUAUUGGGCGUAAAGCGCGCGCAGGUGGAUCGGUCAGUCUGUCUUAAAAGUUCGGGGCUUAACCCCGUGAUGGGAUGGAAACUGCCAAUCUAGAGUAUCGGAGAGGAAAGUGGAAUUCCUAGUGUAGCGGUGAAAUGCGUAGAUAUUAGGAAGAACACCAGUGGCGAAGGCGACUUUCUGGACGAAAACUGACGCUGAGGCGCGAAAGCCAGGGGAGCGAACGGGAUUAGAUACCCCAGUAGUCCCUGUCUCUUAUACA
RNAcentral lists this ribosomal RNA (301 nucleotides) under uncultured bacterium. RNAcentral's name for it is "partial 16S ribosomal RNA". It matches the Rfam family "Bacterial small subunit ribosomal RNA", at positions 509 to 809 of the family's 1533-position model. The record is from RNAcentral.